UAGAAAAACUGUAUGAAGAACUGAAGGUGAAGCAUCAGCAGAUUCAAGAAGAAGAAAUGAAUUCAGCUUGCUAGUUUGAACUGAGGCUGAACCCGAGAUGCUUAUCCUGAGAUCACACUAGAGCUGAAAAACUCAGGUACUGUAUGUGCUUGUUUGGUGAUUAAAUACUGAUACUGAGAACUAAUGAGGUUAGUGAAUGACAACAAAAAAUUCAAUUGAAUCUACAAAAAUGGCAAAAUAGAUACUGUAGUAGUUAAAAAUGUCCUUCUCCAACAGGCAGAAAUCUGAACAAGUGCUGUAAAUGAUGAGCACCAUGUAAAUGCUCAUAAUCACACACAGAGAGGACGAUGUUUAUGUAAAUACACAGGACGGAAAACGCUACUACUUCUUUCUUUUAUCAUUAUACUUGUAUUAAUGUGGGAGAACCUGCCAGAAGGACAGUCAUCAGUUCUCCAACAACAAGAGCUGUUUAAUUUCUUUCUUCCUUAUGAUAUCUUCAUAAUCGGACCAUGGAAGUCAGACACAUAAAAGGUUUCCAGAAAAAAAAAGUCUUGGUAUAUUGUAAAACAGGCAAAUGUAUGUACACAACUGUACAAUGGUGUGACUUCAAAAUGGUCCAAGGCUGAAAUAGUACAUUUUUAAAAAGAUUCACCUACAACAUUUCCUGGAGACAUUAAGCAUAUAUGAAACAUGACACACGGGUUAGGAAAACGGGGAAAAAGUUAAUUAUCCAACAGGUAGACAUCUGAAACUGUUAUAUUUUUAAAUAAAUAUUUUAGAUGUUGAAAAUAUAUAUGAUCAGGCAUCAUAAAUUAUAAGGAUUAUUAAUUGUUAGGAUCACAAACAGUGGAUGAUGACAAUGUGAACACACACAGCCACAUCUGAAUACUAAACAACGCACAGGUAUGUGUUUCUACUCAUUAUACUGAUUAUCCAACUUCUACUUGUAUUAUUUAUUAACUAAAACAUGUUUAAUAUUUAGCUUCAUCUAGUUACAACAACAUCAUGUCUGCUCUUGGUCUUCUGCUGCUUGGAGCUUUAGCAUCACUCUGUGCUGUAGGGAUCUUGUAUCACAAUAAAGUUGUUUCCACUGAGAUGUUAAGUGAAGGACACGAGAACACUACAGCCGAACUGAUGGGGCUAAAACACAAAGCCACAAAGCCA
Long non-coding RNA from Tachysurus fulvidraco (yellow catfish), 1164 nucleotides. RefSeq lists it as uncharacterized. The transcript is spliced from 2 exons. The record is from RefSeq and is a predicted model, not a curated record. Lineage: Eukaryota; Metazoa; Chordata; Actinopteri; Siluriformes; Bagridae.